This is a non-coding RNA of Pelobates cultripes (western spadefoot toad), 419 nucleotides long. The record is from the annotation of a GenBank genome assembly. NCBI's taxonomy places the organism in Eukaryota, Metazoa, Chordata, Amphibia, Anura, Pelobatidae.
GCGGGGACUAGCAGUUCCAUAGCGUUUCUGUAUGGUGAGCGCUAUGGGGAGCAUGAGAGGGAGCGGGCAGCGGCGAGGAAAGUUUCACCGGGACUAAAUGCAUGUGCUUCAGCCAGCUCCCCCUCACACGGCGCAGAGUUCCCGCAGUCCCCGUCCUAUGUGGAACAGGCACUCCCACAGCAGCUCGAUUCACUCCUUGCUCUGAUCGCAAGUUGGUUCCCCAUGGAGGCGUCCGCAGCCGGCUCGGGCAAAGCCACCUCUGGCUCCAGGAGUGCUGGCAAAGGGAGCUGCGAUGGAGGAGUCGCCAGCCCCAGCUCGGGUUGCCUUGGGCUACCAGUAUGUGGCCACAACUCGCCCACCUGUCUGGAACCGCAGUCUGAGUACAAGUUGGAGGACUUUGAUACUGUAGCUACUGUGGG